GUCACUCUGGCGAAGUGAAAGCCAAUAUCCUGGGCUAAAUUGGACAGAGACUGGGGCAACGUCCAGGUCUGGAGGUGGUAUCUGCGUGGGCGUGGUUCCCCUUCCUCGUUCUCCUGGCUCUCGGCUCCGCUCAUCCCGCGCACCUGUCUGCAAUCAGCUCAUCACUUCUACCAGUCUGCCUCUCAUCAGUUCACCAGCUUGCAGUGUAUCUACUCCGGCUCUUCAGCGGCUCUUUGCCAGAUUGUUGUUUCAACCACAGUGGAUCAUUACUCACCUGCCUGUCAACAACUUCCAAGAUGCCUGUAAUGCUGCCCCUCAUUCCUUCCCGCUCACUCCAGCCACACUCCUCCAUU
Molecule: long non-coding RNA, 353 nt
Organism: Thunnus maccoyii (southern bluefin tuna)
Lineage: Eukaryota; Metazoa; Chordata; Actinopteri; Scombriformes; Scombridae
Exons: 3
Source: RefSeq, a predicted model, not a curated record